GACGAACGCUGGCGGCGUGCCUAACACAUGCAAGUCGAACGGAAAGGCCCUGCUUUUGUGGGGUGCUCGAGUGGCGAACGGGUGAGUAACACGUGAGUAACCUGCCCUUGACUUUGGGAUAACUUCAGGAAACUGGGGCUAAUACCGGAUAGGAGCUCCUGCUGCAUGGUGGGGGUUGGAAAGUUUCGGCGGUUGGGGAUGGACUCGCGGCUUAUCAGCUUGUUGGUGGGGUAGUGGCUUACCAAGGCUUUGACGGGUAGCCGGCCUGAGAGGGUGACCGGCCACAUUGGGACUGAGAUACGGCCCAGACUCCUACGGGAGGCAGCAGUGGGGAAUAUUGCACAAUGGGCGGAAGCCUGAUGCAGCAACGCCGCGUGCGGGAUGACGGCCUUCGGGUUGUAAACCGCUUUCGCCUGUGACGAAGCGUGAGUGACGGUAAUGGGUAAAGAAGCACCGGCUAACUACGUGCCAGCAGCCGCGGUGAUACGUAGGGUGCGAGCGUUGUCCGGAUUUAUUGGGCGUAAAGGGCUCGUAGGUGGUUGAUCGCGUCGGAAGUGUAAUCUUGGGGCUUAACCCUGAGCGUGCUUUCGAUACGGGUUGACUUGAGGAAGGUAGGGGAGAAUGGAAUUCCUGGUGGAGCGGUGGAAUGCGCAGAUAUCAGGAGGAACACCAGUGGCGAAGGCGGUUCUCUGGGCCUUUCCUGACGCUGAGGAGCGAAAGCGUGGGGAGCGAACAGGCUUAGAUACCCUGGUAGUCCACGCUGUAAACGGUGGGUACUAGGUGUGGGGUCCAUUCCACGGGUUCCGUGCCGUAGCUAACGCUUUAAGUACCCCGCCUGGGGAGUACGGCCGCAAGGCUAGAACUCAAAGGAAUUGACGGGGCCCCGCACAAGCGGCGGAGCAUGCGGAUUAAUUCGAUGCAACGCGUAGAACCUUACCUGGGUUUGACAUGGAUCGGGAGUGCUCAGAGAUGGGUGUGCCUCUUUUGGGGUCGGUUCACAGGUGGUGCAUGGCUGUCGUCAGCUCGUGUCGUGAGAUGUUGGGUUAAGUCCCGCAACGAGCGCAACCCUUGUUCACUGUUGCCAGCACGUUAUGGUGGGGACUCAGUGGAGACCGCCGGGGUCAACUCGGAGGAAGGUGGGGAUGACGUCAAGUCAUCAUGCCCCUUAUGUCCAGGGCUUCACGCAUGCUACAAUGGCUGGUACAGAGAGUGGCGAGCCUGUGAGGGUGAGCGAAUCUCGGAAAGCCGGUCUCAGUUCGGAUUGGGGUCUGCAACUCGACCUCAUGAAGUCGGAGUCGCUAGUAAUCGCAGAUCAGCAACGCUGCGGUGAAUACGUUCCCGGG
This 1343-nucleotide ribosomal RNA is filed under the name uncultured bacterium. Its description in RNAcentral is "16S ribosomal RNA". It matches the Rfam family "Bacterial small subunit ribosomal RNA", at positions 28 to 1378 of the family's 1533-position model. The record is from RNAcentral.